CAGUCUCCUGAUUAUUGAAUACAGCUGUUUGUGCUAUCUCACUAGUGUUUUUGAAACAGUCAAUGUUUUUCUGAGGACCACUAGUUUGGAUUGGGGUUGUUAGUUUUAUGUGUAGCAAAGCUAAAUGUUAUCAUAUUCAAUUUUAAAUAAGUUGCUUCAUUCUGUGUGUAAAACAAAAUAAUUUCAAUAUACUUGAUUUCAUAGUUAACUAAUGUAGAGUUGAUCAAAAAAUAUCUUCCCUAGUAUGAUGCACAGAGAUUAGAUUAGACUGUUACAGAAUAAUGUGAUAAUAAUGAUUUCCUUAAGAGAGUACAAAAGCAGCAUCUAAGUUUUAACUGACAUCUAUUGACACACAGCAUCAGUUGGGAGCCCAAUCAAACCUCCUAUUCUUUUCUGUUUACCACCUCCUGCUUUUAUUUACAGUCAGCAUAUCUGUUAAUUAGCUUCAGGUAGAAUCAGUUCUUCUAAGAAGAUCUCUUGUCUUCCUGGUGAUGGCCCCAUGAGGUGACCCAUGUACACACAGUCUGAACAGGACGUGAGUCCUGCAAAUGCUGAAGAUUUUUGCAUGAAAAUAAAGCAUGCAAGGGUAAGUGUCAUGCACAAGUUUUAGCCUGAGAACUUGGGGCAUGUGGAUGCUUUUGCAUCAGCAAUGA
Molecule: long non-coding RNA, 653 nt
Filed under: Anser brachyrhynchus (Pink-footed goose)
Lineage: Eukaryota; Metazoa; Chordata; Aves; Anseriformes; Anatidae
Description: lncRNA (ENSABRG00000018467.1)
Source: RNAcentral